AACUACACGCCAAUACAUUUUUUAAAAGAAGACUUAAAUGUGUUAUUUUUAAUAGCAUGCCCUAGGAAAAAUGCAGAUUUGUGAAACCUUGUUGCCUAAAAGGAAAGAAGAAAAGGAAGCCGGUGUUUCAAAAACUCAGACAUAUUAGAAUAUGGCAUUGAGUAAGCUGUUGUCUUGUUUGGGGGAAGGUGGACCAUCUGAAGAGGGCUUUAGGGACAGUUCUAGUCAUUGACCUUGGGAGAAGCAGGGUAGGAACAGUGCUGCUGCGGAAGCUGAGAGAGCAGUUCUGUGUCCAGUGGAGCACAGUGAACUCCUGGGUGGCACCUGUGUUACAAAACUCCAUUUUAUGGAGUUCCCUGGUGGCACAGCAGGUGAAGAAUUUGACCUUGGUAGUGCUGCAGCUCAGGUCACUGGUGUGGCAUGGGUUCCACCUCUGGCCUGGGAACUUCCGUAUGCCGGGGACACGGCCGAAAAAAAAAAAAAAAUCAAAACCAAAAAACCCUCUACUUGAGCUCUUUCAUCUGCAAUACAGUAGUAUCUAUUGCAUAGGAUGUUUGAAGAUAGAAUGGUUUAAUUUAGAAAAUGAAUGGUGACAAUUACUAUAGAAGCACCAGAAAGCCUGCUUGUUCUGGUGGAAUCAUGCAUGUCCUACAUGGUGUCUAGAAUAAAGGAGAUUCUUAAGAUGGAUAUAAAUUGGAUAAAUGAAAUGCCCAGAUAUCAGGGGUAUACAUGAGACAGGAUAGCUGUGAGUUGGAAAUGGUUGAGGCUCAGUAGUAGGUACGUGGAGAUUUGUUAUACUAUUUUCUGUGCUGUUGUGUAUCUUUGAAAUUUUCCUUACUAAAAACGCUUUUUUAAAAGAAUGUUGUAGCUCAGCGGGUUAACCCAGCUAGUAUCCAUGAGGAUGCAGGUUCAAUCCCUGGCCUCGUUCAGUGGGGGUUAAGGAUCUGGUGUUGCCUGAGCUGUGGUGUAGGUCACAGAUGUGGCUUGGAUCCUGUAUUGCUGUGGCUGUGGCCUAGGCCAGCAGCCGCAGCUCUGAUUGAGCCCUUAGCUUGGGAACCUCCAUAUGCCUCAGGUGCAGCC
This 1080-nucleotide long non-coding RNA is filed under the name Sus scrofa (pig). Its description in RNAcentral is "lncRNA (ENSSSCG00035060335.1)". The record is from RNAcentral. Lineage: Eukaryota; Metazoa; Chordata; Mammalia; Artiodactyla; Suidae.